UACGGGGGGAGCAAGCGUUGUUCGGAUUUACUGGGCGUAAAGGGCGCGUAGGCGGUCAGCACAAGUCGGUUGUGAAAUCUCCGGGCUUAACUCGGAAAGGUCAACUGAUACUGUGCGACUAGAGUGCGGAAGGGGCAACUGGAAUUCUUGGUGUAGCGGUGAAAUGCGUAGAUAUCAAGAGGAACACCUGCGGCGAAGGCGGGUUGCUGGGCCGACACUGACGCUGAUGCGCGAAAGCCAGGGGAGCGAACGGG
Molecule: ribosomal RNA, 254 nt
Filed under: uncultured bacterium
Lineage: Bacteria
Description: partial 16S ribosomal RNA
Rfam family: Bacterial small subunit ribosomal RNA
Source: RNAcentral